GUACUCACUCUGGCAGCACAUGUACCAAAAUUGGAUAGAUACAGAGAUUAGCAUGGCCCCUUUGCAAGGGUGACAUGCUGAGUCAAGGCUGUCAUGCUGAAUUUU
Suricata suricatta (meerkat) is the source of this 105-nucleotide small nuclear RNA. Lineage: Eukaryota; Metazoa; Chordata; Mammalia; Carnivora; Herpestidae. The record is from Ensembl.